This 563-nucleotide long non-coding RNA is filed under the name Homo sapiens (human). Its description in RNAcentral is "non-protein coding LINC01002:12". Lineage: Eukaryota; Metazoa; Chordata; Mammalia; Primates; Hominidae. The record is from RNAcentral.
UCCCAGAGUUCUGGGAUUACAGGUGUGAGCCAUCUUGCUCAUUCUAGUUUAAACUUUUGAGUGGUUUGUGUCUCCUGAUUGGACUCCUACAAAUACAGAAUUGAUGCUAGGAAGGGUACCAGGAGAUAGACGCACACAGAUGGGAUUUGGGAAUAGGUUUGGUUAUCCAAGGAGCAGUGCUGAGCUCCUUGCAAUGGGAUAUGGGAUGCUGGUGAUUUCCAGGAAGUGCGCUCACAAUGACUCAAGCUGCCACAUACUGUUGAUUGUGAAAUGCCAGUUGAAGCAUAUGUCCUGCAAGCUUAGGGGUGCUACAAGUUGACCACUGCAGCAGUAAAGAUGACUCUGAAGAACGGCGUGGGAUGGUUCCUUUCAAAUGCACUUGAGCAGCGGUCUCCAACCACAGGGCCACAGAGCUGGAGCUGGAUCUACCAUGAAAGACUUGUGAAUCCAGGAAGAGAGACUGACUGGGCAACAUGUUAUUCAGGUACAAAAAGAUUUGGACUGUAACUUAAAAAUGAUCAAAUUAUGUUUCCCAUGCAUCAGGUGCAAUGGGAAGCUCUUCU